Molecule: microRNA precursor, 75 nt
Organism: Myotis lucifugus (little brown bat)
Lineage: Eukaryota; Metazoa; Chordata; Mammalia; Chiroptera; Vespertilionidae
Rfam family: mir-9223 microRNA precursor family
Source: Rfam
GGCAGUUCUCGGGUGACGCAACCUGGAAUCAGGCUCCCUCCUUUCUGAUUCUGGGUGUGUCACCCGAGAAUCGCA